Rhinopithecus bieti (black snub-nosed monkey) is the source of this 107-nucleotide small nuclear RNA. Lineage: Eukaryota; Metazoa; Chordata; Mammalia; Primates; Cercopithecidae. The record is from Ensembl.
GUGCUGACUUCGGCAGCAGGUAUGCUAAAAUUAGAAUGGCACAGAGGAGGUUAGCAUGGCCCCGUGUGCAAGGAAGAUCACACAUUCAUGCAGCAUUCCAUAUUUUU